Molecule: long non-coding RNA, 1364 nt
Organism: Mustela lutreola (European mink)
Lineage: Eukaryota; Metazoa; Chordata; Mammalia; Carnivora; Mustelidae
Exons: 2
Source: RefSeq, a predicted model, not a curated record
UCUAGUCCCAUCGCCUCCUUACAGUUGGGGGACCUGAAGUUCAAAGCCUUCAAGUGACUUGCGAGAGGUCAAAGGCCACAUUAGAGCCAGAGUUCACUUCUAAAUAUGAGGAAGACUGUCAAGAUAUUAAUAAAGCUGCGAUGCGUAUCAGCGUGGCCAUGGAAUCAGAAGACGUUAUUCCGCUCAAGUCAAAGAGGCGGGAAAGGAUAAUCACAAAAAAGGAACACAAUUUGUUUAAAGCAAAAAUAUGAAAACCACAGUAAGGAAAAAGGGGGGCUGCAGUCAGUUCAGCAUCUAGACCCCAAAAGCAAAUCUGUUGAUGGUCCCCACAUUAGUCAACAAGGUUUAAGGCAAUUCACUGUCGUGGAAGCAAUAUACGGUUUCUUGCCAGACAGGAUUUAGGAUUCCCAGUCCCCGACAACUUUUUUGCACCAUCUUCUGUAAAAAAAACAGAAAAAAAAAAAAAACCCACCCCAACAAACAAACAAAACCCAACAACAACAACAACCUUUAUGUCACUUGAAUUUGCACUUGACUUAUUUGCCUACAAACUGGAAACUUCACCUCAUGAUAAAGACGUGAGUCAGAGCUAGAAAAUGCCAAAAACGGCGUGCAGAACAGAACAUUCUGGAAAGGUGGGCUUGGGGCUUGAGCAGGGGCUCUUUCCUGGUCGUGGAAGCUUUCUGUGGUGUCUCCAUGGUUGAGAGGACGGGGUCUCUGUGUCUGAAUGAGGGUCAGCCGCGCAGCCUGCUCGAAGGCUUGCCUCCACCUCUGUCAGAAAUCCUCCAGUGGCCAAAACAAGGUGCCCAGUGUGACUGAGCAAUGAGAAAAAUAGACAUUUCUAUUCUGAAGCUGCCUGCUAAUUAUUCCAGGGACAUUCUUCCUGUCAAUCUUUUAUUAAUUAUCCAGGGAAGUGAUUCUGUAAAGCAACACACAGUGAAAUGAUUCAUCUGACAUAACUUCCUUCCUUUUCCGUCCAACUGAAAGAGGUCCAGAAGCCUCAGCUAGGCAUGGAGGGGAGAGAAAACGAAACCGAAUGUCCUCCAAGCACACAGCCGUGUCCUGAGCUGAGAUCCCCAGCCGCAGCCCUGGCGGGAGCUCACACACCAACACACCAGACAAGGUGAGGAAACGGAGUAUGAAAUCUUGCCUAAGAUUGCACCGCUAUCAAGCAGCCGAGUGUGGACUGAAACUCAGGAGGUUGGACCCCAAAGUCCUCCCUCUGAAUCACAGUCACCAAGCCCAGUGCACCAUCCCAGCCCAUGGGGGGGUGUGGACUUUGGAGAAAGAGAAGUGAAGGGCGAGGAAAUCUUCUUCUGGAUAUGCAAGCCUUAUGUGAAGGGUAAAAGUCCUCCUUCCACUUU